Molecule: ribosomal RNA, 468 nt
Filed under: uncultured bacterium
Lineage: Bacteria
Description: partial 16S ribosomal RNA
Rfam family: Bacterial small subunit ribosomal RNA
Source: RNAcentral
GACGAACGCUGGCGGCGUGCUUAACACAUGCAAGUCGAACGGAAAGGCCCUGCUUUUGUGGGGUGCUCGAGUGGCGAAAGGGUGAGUAACACGUGAGUAACCUGCCCUUGACUUUGGGAUAACUUCAGGAAACUGGGGCUAAUACCGGAUAGGAGCUCCUGCUGCAUGGUGGGGGUUGGAAAGUUUCGGCGGUUGGGGAUGGACUCGCGGCUUAUCAGCUUGUUGGUGGGGUAGUGGCUUACCAAGGCUUUGCCGGGUAGCCGGCCUGAGAGGGUGACCGGCCACAUUGGGACUGAGAUACGGCCCAGACUCCUACGGGAGGCAGCAGUGGGGAAUAUUGCACAAUGGGCGGAAGCCUGAUGCAGCAACGCCGCGUGCGGGAUGACGGCCUUCGGGUUGUAAACCGCUUUCGCCUGUGACGAAGCGUGAGUGACGGUAAUGGGUAAAGAAGCACCGGCUAACUACGUG